Hordeum vulgare subsp. vulgare (domesticated barley) is the source of this 72-nucleotide non-coding RNA. The record is from Rfam. NCBI's taxonomy places the organism in Eukaryota, Viridiplantae, Streptophyta, Magnoliopsida, Poales, Poaceae.
GGGCGUUUGGUCUAGUGGUAUGAUUCUCGCUUUGGGUGUGAGAGGUCGCGAGUUCGAUUCUGGCAACGCCCC